This 281-nucleotide long non-coding RNA is filed under the name Cicer arietinum (chickpea). Its description in RNAcentral is "long non-coding RNA (CARI_LNC003712)". Lineage: Eukaryota; Viridiplantae; Streptophyta; Magnoliopsida; Fabales; Fabaceae. The record is from RNAcentral.
AACAAGGCUUUUGGCUGCAGCUUGGAGCUGUUGUUACAUAUUAGUGGCUCCAUAAGAUUAAGUAAUGAUUCUUGAUUUGGUGUAUUUUAUUUUUCCACUUUUAAUUACAUGGGUGAUUUUUUGAACUCUUGAUCUGGUGUACUCCUCCAAAGUCUGGAUAAGGUUUUAAAAAGGUUUUUAAAAAAAAAAAAUUGAGAAAUGUAUUAUGUUUAAGAAUUUUGUUAGUUUUUAAAACGUAUCUCAAUAUUAUAAAAAAAUGAAGCAUAGUGGGAUGGGCAGGC